This is a non-coding RNA of Canariomyces notabilis, 102 nucleotides long. Lineage: Eukaryota; Fungi; Ascomycota; Sordariomycetes; Sordariales; Chaetomiaceae. The record is from the annotation of a RefSeq genome assembly.
GGCAAGAUGGCCGAGCGGUCCAAGGCGCCAGGUUCAGGUCCACCUGAAUGAGUUCUUCCUGGUCUCAGAAAUGGGGCGUGAGUUCGAAUCUCACUCUUGUCA